UGCCUUGUGCUCUCUUUGCAGUGAUGGGAGCAUCAGCCAGCCCUACCCAUACCCCCAUGUCCCUGCUCUCGGGUGAGCUCCCCCAUCCCAAACCUUGGUGCUGAAUUGGAAACAGGCUUUGCCUUCUGCUCCCAUCAAUUCCCCUUUUGGCUGAUGAGGAUUUUGCUUCUCUGUGCUGCGUGAGCUGCCAGCAAGGUCAUCGGAAGCUCCUUGGUGUCCUUGACACUGCACCGUGGGGUCAGUGCAAUGUGUUCCCCAAGGGCUUUUUUCCUCCAUCCCAUUGAUCAUUAGAAGUUCCUUGGGGUCAGUGGGACAUGUUCCUCAAUGGCUUUCUUCCUCCACCUUGUAGCUCUGGUCAUUAGAAACUCUUUAAUAUUAUCAAUGCUAUGCUAUGGGAUCAAUGGAACGUGUACCCCAAUGGCUUUGUUCCUCCAUCCCAUAGCUUUGGUCAUUGGAAGAUCCUCGAUGUCAACAGGAUGUGUUCCCCAAUGGCUUUGUUCUCUAAUCCCAUAGCUUUGGUCAUUGGAAGCUCUUUGGUGUCGUUGGCACUGCCACGGGAUCAGUAGGAUGCGUUCCCCAGUGUUUUUCUCUUGCAUCCCACUGGUCUUUGGAAGCUCCUUGAUGUCAUCAGCACUGUGCCAUGGGAUCAGUGGGAUGUGUUCCCCAAUGGCUUUGUUCCUCCAUCUCAUGGCUUUGCUUCGCAGGCAGCGUGGAGCAGAGCUUUGCCAUCAGCUCAGUACCACUCAACCUCGACUGGGAUGGGCAUACGCCCCACAUCCAAGGCUCUUCCUCCCAUCCUAGGUAGGGUCAGAGAUGUUUCACCCCUUUUCCUCCUUCCUUUUUGCUCACCCCAAGUUCUACUAGCACUUUCGCAGGGGUGUUCGCAGCAUGAGAAAUGGCCAUUAUUUUACUGACUGUAUUUGGUACCUAUCGUGUGAUACUUGAAGAGAUCGGGGCGUUUUGCCCUCCAUCAGAGUCUAAACUCUCUUUUAUUUUCUUUUUUUUUUUCCCCCCUUUUUUUCUUGCGUUGUGAUGUAGUGGGCACAUCUGCCCCCGCUGACAAAAUGCCUCUUCUCUAAGAGUAUAACCUCUCCGGUAGUUGUGUAUAAUGACAGAACUGUAAACUUUUUUUAAAAUAAAAAAUAUGUAUAUACCUCAGAGGCUGCCUGGUGCUUGAGCUUCAUGCAGGAAGGGGUCCUCUACCCCACGUCAUUGGCUCUGUGGGAUUUAUGGCACCCGUGGGGCAUUUUUUGGGUUGGGGAUGAGCUCUUGGCUGAUGGAAAAUAAAUCAUCGUGGCUGAUGACUGAAAAUGGGGCUGCAUGGGUUUGGAUGCUGGGCACACACCUGUUUUUCUGUGGAAUCAUUAGGUUUGGAAAAGACCUCUGUGGUGGCCACCCAGUCCAGCCAUCAACCCAUCACCACCAUGCCCACUCAUGGAAUCACUGAGGCUGGAAAAGAUUGCUGAGAUCAUGGAGUCCAACCAUCAACCCAACACCAAAAACCUCUGGGAUCAAUCCUCUAGUCCAAUCUUCAACCCAUCACCAACCCCUAUGCCCACUACACCACGUCCCUAAAUCCCAUGUGUGAUGUUUGGCUUGAUGUUGGAUGGAAAUUGGGACAUAGGAUGAUGCAUGUAGGGAUGUGAGUUCCCCAACCAUUGGUGUUUUGUGGGGCAGGACAAGGGGAAAGGGGAUGCAAGCCCAUUACUGGGCCAUGGUCUCAUAUGUGGCUUGUCCCCCUUGCCCCCCAUCC
This 1753-nucleotide long non-coding RNA is filed under the name Meleagris gallopavo (turkey). RNAcentral's name for it is "lncRNA (ENSMGAG00000017589.1)". Lineage: Eukaryota; Metazoa; Chordata; Aves; Galliformes; Phasianidae. The record is from RNAcentral.